RNAcentral lists this ribosomal RNA (497 nucleotides) under uncultured bacterium. RNAcentral's name for it is "partial 16S ribosomal RNA". It matches the Rfam family "Bacterial small subunit ribosomal RNA", at positions 28 to 507 of the family's 1533-position model. The record is from RNAcentral.
GACGAACGCUGGCGGCGGGCCUAAUACAUGCAAGUUGAGCGCUGAAGGUUGGUACUUGUACCAACUGGAUGAGCAGCGAACGGGUGGGUAACGCGUGGGGAAGCUUCCUUUGAUCGGGGGGCAACAUUUGGAAGCGAAUGCUAAUACCGCAUAAAAACUUUAAACACAGGUUGUAAGUUUUAAAGAUGCAAUUGCAUCACUCAAAGAUGAUCCCGCGUUGUAUUAGCUAGUUGGUGAGGGAAAGGCUCACCAAGGCGAAGAUACAUAGCCGACCUGAGAGGGUGAAUGGCCAAGUCGGGACUGAGACCCGGCCCCAACCCCCACGGGAGGCCGCAGUAGGGAAUCUUCGGACAAGGACGACAGUCUGAAUCCGCCACGACGCGGGAGUGAAGAAGGUCUUCGGAUCGUAAAACUCUGUUUGUAGAGAAGAAAGUUGGUGAGAGUAGAAAGCCCAUCAAGUGACGGUACCUAAACAGAAAGGGCCGGCUAACUACGUG